RNAcentral lists this ribosomal RNA (506 nucleotides) under uncultured Pseudomonadota bacterium. Its description in RNAcentral is "bacterial SSU rRNA". It matches the Rfam family "Bacterial small subunit ribosomal RNA", at positions 371 to 896 of the family's 1533-position model. The record is from RNAcentral. Lineage: Bacteria; Pseudomonadati; Pseudomonadota.
UAGGGCGAAAGCCUGAUCCAGCCAUGCCGCGUGGGUGAAGAAGGCCUUAGGGUUGUAAACCCUUUCAGCGGGGAAGAUAAUGACGGUACCCGCAGAAGAAGCCCCGGCUAACUCCGUGCCAGCAGCCGCGGUAAUACGGAGGGAGCUAGCGUUGUUCGGAAUUACUGGGCGUAAAGCGCGCGUAGGCGGAUCUGCAAGUCAGGGGUGAAAUCCCGAGGCUCAACCUCGGAACUGCCUUUGAUACUGCGGAUCUCGAGUCCGAGAGAGGUGAGUGGAAUUCCUAGUGUAGAGGUGAAAUUCGUAGAUAUUAGGAAGAACACCAGUGGCGAAGGCGGCUCACUGGCUCGGUACUGACGCUGAGGCGCGAAAGCGUGGGGAGCAAACAGGAUUAGAUACCCUGGUAGUCCACGCCGUAAACUAUGGGUGCUAGCCGUCGGAGAGCAUGCUCUUCGGUGGCGCAGCAAACGCAUUAAGCACCCCGCCUGGGGAGUACGGUCGCAAGAUUA